UACAGAGGGUGCGAGCGUUGUCCGGAAUCACUGGGCGUAAAGGGCGCGUAGGCGGCUUUUCAAGCGUGCGGUGAAAGCUCGGGGCUUAACUCCGAGUCUGCCGUGCGGACUGGGAGGCUUGUGUCUGGUAGAGGUCGAUGGCAUUCCGGGUGUAGCGGUGGAAUGCGUAGAGAUCCGGAAGAACACCGGUGGCGAAGGCGGUCGUCUGGGCCGGUACUGACGCUGAGGCGCGACAGCGUGGGGAGCAAACAGG
RNAcentral lists this ribosomal RNA (253 nucleotides) under uncultured bacterium. RNAcentral's name for it is "partial 16S ribosomal RNA". It matches the Rfam family "Bacterial small subunit ribosomal RNA", at positions 524 to 776 of the family's 1533-position model. The record is from RNAcentral.